This 117-nucleotide ribosomal RNA is filed under the name Pteropus alecto (black flying fox). Lineage: Eukaryota; Metazoa; Chordata; Mammalia; Chiroptera; Pteropodidae. The record is from RNAcentral.
GUCUACGGCCAUGCUGCCCUGAACAAGCCCUCCCGUCUGAUCUCAGAAACUAAGAAGGAUUAGGCCUGGUUAGUACUUGGAUGGGAGACCACCUAGGAAGACCUGUAGGUGUAAAAA